Molecule: ribosomal RNA, 792 nt
Filed under: uncultured bacterium
Lineage: Bacteria
Description: bacterial SSU rRNA
Rfam family: Bacterial small subunit ribosomal RNA
Source: RNAcentral
GAGUUUGAUCAUGGCUCAGAUUGAACGCUGGCGGCAGGCCUAACACAUGCAAGUCGAGCGAGAAAGCCCUUCGGGGUGAGUGAGCGGCGGACGGGUGAGUAACGCGUAGGAAUCUACCGAGUAGUGGGGGACAACAUGGUGAAAACCAUGCUAAUACCGCAUACGCCCUACGGGGGAAAGGGGGCUCUUUGAGCUCUCGCUAUUUGAUGAGCCUGCGUAAGAUUAGCUAGUUGGUGGGGUAAAGGCUCACCAAGGCGACGAUCUUUAGCUGGUCUGAGAGGAUGAUCAGCCACACUGGGACUGAGACACGGCCCAGACUCCUACGGGAGGCGGCAGUGGGGAAUAUUGCACAAUGGGGGAAACCCUGAUGCAGCCAUGCCGCGUGUGUGAAGAAGGCUCUAGGGUUGUAAAGCACUUUCAGUGGGGAGGAAAAGUUGGUAGUUAAUACCUGCCAACCCUGACGUUACCCACAGAAGAAGGACCGGCUAACUCCGUGCCAGCAGCCGCGGUAAUACGGAGGGUCCGAGCGUUAAUCGGAAUUACUGGGCGUAAAGCGCGCGUAGGCGGUUUGUUAAGUCGGAUGUGAAAGCCCAGGGCUCAACCUUGGAACUGCACCCGAUACUGGCUAACUAGAGUACGAUAGAGGGUGGUAGAAUUUCUUGUGUAGCAGUGAAAUGCGUAGAUAUAAGAAGGAAUACCAGUGGCGAAGGCGGCCACCUGGAUCGAUACUGACGCUGAGGUGCGAAAGCGUGGGGAGCGAACGGGAUUAGAUACCCCGGUAGUCCACGCCGU